GUGCAGCAGUCGCGAAACCUUCGCAAUGCAGGAAACUGCGACGAGGGAGCUCCAAGUGCCUACGCUCAGCGUAGGCUGUUCUCAAGCCUAGAAAAGCUUGAGGAGUAAGGGCUGGGUAAGACGGGUGCCAUCUGUGGUAGCAGUCAAUAGAUUCGAUUUGUUACUGCAAGGCAUAAGCCGCCGCGGUAAUACCCGCAGCCCAAGUGGUGGCCGCUUUUAUUGGGCCUAAAGCGUCCGUAGCCGGCCCGGUAAAUGCCCUGGGGUAAAAUCGUGGAGCCCCAACGUUCACGAAUUCCGGGUAGACUGCCGAGCUCGGGACC
Molecule: ribosomal RNA, 320 nt
Filed under: uncultured microorganism
Description: bacterial SSU rRNA
Rfam family: Archaeal small subunit ribosomal RNA
Source: RNAcentral